RNAcentral lists this ribosomal RNA (460 nucleotides) under uncultured bacterium. RNAcentral describes it as "partial 16S ribosomal RNA". It matches the Rfam family "Bacterial small subunit ribosomal RNA", at positions 338 to 795 of the family's 1533-position model. The record is from RNAcentral.
CCUACGGGAGGCUGCAGUGAGGAAUAUUGGUCAAUGGACGAGAGUCUGAACCAGCCAAGUAGCGUGAAGGAUGACUGCCCUAUGGGUUGUAAACUUCUUUUAUAUGGGAAUAAAACGUUCCACGUGUGGGAUUUUGUAUGUACCAUAUGAAUAAGGAUCGGCUAACUCCGUGCCAGCAGCCGCGGUAAUACGGAGGAUCCGAGCGUUAUCCGGAUUUAUUGGGUUUAAAGGGAGCGUAGGUGGAUUGUUAAGUCAGUUGUGAAAGUUUGCGGCUCAACCGUAAAAUUGCAGUUGAAACUGGCAGUCUUGAGUACAGUAGAGGUGGGCGGAAUUCGUGGGGUAGCGGUGAAAUGCUUAGAUAUCACGAAGAACUCCGAUUGCGAAGGCAGUUCACUGGACUGCAACUGACACUGAGGCUCGAAAGUGUGGGUAUCAAACAGGAUUAGAUACCCCAGUAGUC